AUUGAACGCUGGCGGCAGGCCUAACACAUGCAAGUCGGACGGUAGCACAGAGGAGCUUGCUCCCCGGGUGACGAGUGGCGGACGGGUGAGUAAUGUCUGGGGAUCUGCCCGAUAGAGGGGGAUAACCACUGGAAACGGUGGCUAAUACCGCAUAACGUCGCAAGACCAAAGAGGGGGACCUUCGGGCCUCUCACUAUCGGAUGAACCCAGAUGGGAUUAGCUAGUAGGCGGGGUAACGGCCCACCUAGGCGAGGAUCCCUAGCUGGUCUGAGAGAAUGACCAGCCACACUGGAACGGUGACACGGUCCAGACUCCUACAGGAGGCAGAAGUGGGGAAUAUUGCACAUUGGGCGCAAGCCUGAUGAAGCCAUGCCGCGUGUAUGAAGAAGGCCUUCGGGUUGUAAAGUACUUUCAGCGGGGAGGAAGGCGAUGUGGUUAAUAACCGCGUCGAUUGACGUUACCCGCAGAAGAAGCACCGGCUAACUCCGUGCCAGCCGCCGCGGUAA
Molecule: ribosomal RNA, 506 nt
Filed under: uncultured bacterium
Lineage: Bacteria
Description: partial 16S ribosomal RNA
Rfam family: Bacterial small subunit ribosomal RNA
Source: RNAcentral